Molecule: long non-coding RNA, 486 nt
Organism: Syzygium oleosum
Lineage: Eukaryota; Viridiplantae; Streptophyta; Magnoliopsida; Myrtales; Myrtaceae
Exons: 2
Source: RefSeq, a predicted model, not a curated record
GGUGUCUCGGAUGCACCCCGGGUAGUGAUGAUGUAGAGUUCACCCUUCGUCGACGCAAAAAAACCACCGUCUCCUAUUUAUCUUUCUCUCUGCUCUCUCUCCCCACCUCUUUCUCAUACGCUUCGGGUCUUAUGUUCGGUUCUCCCCACACAUGAGCCACGCCCCUCACUACUACUCCUCAUGGGGUGGCUUCAGUCCCUCCUCUCUCCAUUGAAGAAGCUGUGGUUUCGUCUCCACUCGCCUCUGAACAAGAGAAGAGGGAUAUACAUUCUGUACGAGGAUGUCAAAUCAUGCCCGUGCGAGGACGUUCACGUGCUGUGGUCGAUUCUGGUGGAAGCGAACGCGCCUUCUUCGCCGUCCCCCGCCAAACAAUGAAGGCUCCAGGCCGCCAGGGGUCCUUCUGCUUCCCAUGAAACACUAGAAACCCCCAGUCAUGUACAUAAUAAACAUAUAUAUUUAUAAUGUCUUCCACUGUACACUUCCAUA